CCCUUAGAUGUUCUGGGAUGCACGCGCGUUACACUGAUUCGUUCAACGAGUUUAUGACCUUGCCUGAUGAGGUGGGGGAAUCUUUUCAAAUCGCAUCGUGAUGGGGAUAGAGUAUUGUAACUGUUAGUCUUCAACGAGGAAUUCCUAGUAAGUACGUGUCAUCAGCUCGUACUGAUUAUGUCCCUGCCCUUUGUACACACCGCCCGUCGCUCCUACCGAUUGAGUGCUCAGGUGAAUAGUAUGGACUGUAUCAGUGUUCGGUCUCCGAAUGUUGACGCGAGAAAUUCUGUGAAUCUUAUUGCUUAGAGGAAGGAGAAGUCGUAACA
RNAcentral lists this ribosomal RNA (326 nucleotides) under uncultured eukaryote. RNAcentral's name for it is "partial 18S ribosomal RNA". It matches the Rfam family "Eukaryotic small subunit ribosomal RNA", at positions 1470 to 1796 of the family's 1831-position model. The record is from RNAcentral.